RNAcentral lists this ribosomal RNA (972 nucleotides) under Paralepetopsis sp. SWA-2009. Its description in RNAcentral is "eukaryotic LSU rRNA". The stretch from base 482 to 972 matches the Rfam family "Eukaryotic large subunit ribosomal RNA", at positions 665 to 1133 of the family's 3401-position model. The record is from RNAcentral. Lineage: Eukaryota; Metazoa; Mollusca; Gastropoda; Neolepetopsidae.
UACGGGCAAACGGGUGGAACCGCCGGUGCGACCAGCGGAAUCCAGCUCGCCGGGCUCAGGCGGCUCCUCGCGGCUGUCGAGACUCGACCUUCUCGGAGGUUGGGCUCGGCGACUCGAGUGGGUCCGUCCCCGUCGGCGUAUCUUCCGCUGCUUGUCGCGAGUCGCGACCGGCUCGAAGUGCUUCGUCUCGGCUGGUGUCAGGCGAGGGGCGCGCCUCUCGGGGCGUCUGCACCCGUCUUCGGACUGCCUGCACCGGUCGGUCUGACGGCGAACGUAGCUUCGGGCCGAGGAACGGCCCCGUUCCCGCUCCCGACCAAAGUCUCCCGGCGACGUCGCGGCCGUCUUGACUGCCUCUACGAGGCUUAACAGUGCAAGCGCGGUCGCUCGGUCGGCGUCGGCGAGGCGGCGGGCUUGGGGAACGGUCUUAGAGGGUCCGCGGCUGGCCGUGGCGGCACUAUUCCCGACCCGUCUUGAAACACGGACCAAGGAGUCUAACGUGAGCGCGAGUCACAGGGAAAAACACUCCCUUGGGGCGCAGCGAAAGCGACGUGGUCCGAUCCUUCCUCGGGUGAGGGGGGCGCAGGACCGGCCCGUCGGGGGUUGUUACGGCCUCGGCGGAGCAAGAGCGCCCGCGUUGGGCCCCGAAAGAUGGUGAACUAGGCCCGAGCGGGACGAAGCCGGGAGAAAUGCUGGUGGAGGUCCUAAGUGGUUCUGACGCGCAAAUCGAUCACGGAACUGGGGCGUAGGGCCCAAAGACUCAUCGAACCAUCUAGUAGCUGGUUCCCUCCGAAGUUUCCCCCAGGAUAGCUGGCGCUCCCCGAGACAGUUUCGUCCGGUAAAGCGAAUGAUUAGAGGAGUCCGUGCCGAAAUGGCGUGGAGCUAUUGUCAAACUUUGAACGGGCGAGAAGGGGUGCCUACCGCUCGAUCUGGGAGGCUCGGCCCCCGUCGAAAUUACGAGUCCCAAGUUGGCAU